RNAcentral lists this ribosomal RNA (2903 nucleotides) under Escherichia coli. Its description in RNAcentral is "bacterial LSU rRNA". It matches the Rfam family "Bacterial large subunit ribosomal RNA". Lineage: Bacteria; Pseudomonadati; Pseudomonadota; Gammaproteobacteria; Enterobacterales; Enterobacteriaceae. The record is from RNAcentral. RNAcentral also lists the same sequence under 1 other name.
UUAAGCGACUAAGCGUACACGGUGGAUGCCCUGGCAGUCAGAGGCGAUGAAGGACGUGCUAAUCUGCGAUAAGCGUCGGUAAGGUGAUAUGAACCGUUAUAACCGGCGAUUUCCGAAUGGGGAAACCCAGUGUGAUUCGUCACACUAUCAUUAACUGAAUCCAUAGGUUAAUGAGGCGAACCGGGGGAACUGAAACAUCUAAGUACCCCGAGGAAAAGAAAUCAACCGAGAUUCCCCCAGUAGCGGCGAGCGAACGGGGAGCAGCCCAGAGCCUGAAUCAGUGUGUGUGUUAGUGGAAGCGUCUGGAAAGGCGCGCGAUACAGGGUGACAGCCCCGUACACAAAAAUGCACAUGCUGUGAGCUCGAUGAGUAGGGCGGGACACGUGGUAUCCUGUCUGAAUAUGGGGGGACCAUCCUCCAAGGCUAAAUACUCCUGACUGACCGAUAGUGAACCAGUACCGUGAGGGAAAGGCGAAAAGAACCCCGGCGAGGGGAGUGAAAAAGAACCUGAAACCGUGUACGUACAAGCAGUGGGAGCCUCUUUAUGGGGUGACUGCGUACCUUUUGUAUAAUGGGUCAGCGACUUAUAUUCUGUAGCAAGGUUAACCGAAUAGGGGAGCCGAAGGGAAACCGAGUCUUAACUGGGCGUUAAGUUGCAGGGUAUAGACCCGAAACCCGGUGAUCUAGCCAUGGGCAGGUUGAAGGUUGGGUAACACUAACUGGAGGACCGAACCGACUAAUGUUGAAAAAUUAGCGGAUGACUUGUGGCUGGGGGUGAAAGGCCAAUCAAACCGGGAGAUAGCUGGUUCUCCCCGAAAGCUAUUUAGGUAGCGCCUCGUGAAUUCAUCUCCGGGGGUAGAGCACUGUUUCGGCAAGGGGGUCAUCCCGACUUACCAACCCGAUGCAAACUGCGAAUACCGGAGAAUGUUAUCACGGGAGACACACGGCGGGUGCUAACGUCCGUCGUGAAGAGGGAAACAACCCAGACCGCCAGCUAAGGUCCCAAAGUCAUGGUUAAGUGGGAAACGAUGUGGGAAGGCCCAGACAGCCAGGAUGUUGGCUUAGAAGCAGCCAUCAUUUAAAGAAAGCGUAAUAGCUCACUGGUCGAGUCGGCCUGCGCGGAAGAUGUAACGGGGCUAAACCAUGCACCGAAGCUGCGGCAGCGACGCUUAUGCGUUGUUGGGUAGGGGAGCGUUCUGUAAGCCUGCGAAGGUGUACUGUGAGGUAUGCUGGAGGUAUCAGAAGUGCGAAUGCUGACAUAAGUAACGAUAAAGCGGGUGAAAAGCCCGCUCGCCGGAAGACCAAGGGUUCCUGUCCAACGUUAAUCGGGGCAGGGUGAGUCGACCCCUAAGGCGAGGCCGAAAGGCGUAGUCGAUGGGAAACAGGUUAAUAUUCCUGUACUUGGUGUUACUGCGAAGGGGGGACGGAGAAGGCUAUGUUGGCCGGGCGACGGUUGUCCCGGUUUAAGCGUGUAGGCUGGUUUUCCAGGCAAAUCCGGAAAAUCAAGGCUGAGGCGUGAUGACGAGGCACUACGGUGCUGAAGCAACAAAUGCCCUGCUUCCAGGAAAAGCCUCUAAGCAUCAGGUAACAUCAAAUCGUACCCCAAACCGACACAGGUGGUCAGGUAGAGAAUACCAAGGCGCUUGAGAGAACUCGGGUGAAGGAACUAGGCAAAAUGGUGCCGUAACUUCGGGAGAAGGCACGCUGAUAUGUAGGUGAAGUCCCUUGCGGAUGGAGCUGAAAUCAGUCGAAGAUACCAGCUGGCUGCAACUGUUUAUUAAAAACACAGCACUGUGCAAACACGAAAGUGGACGUAUACGGUGUGACGCCUGCCCGGUGCCGGAAGGUUAAUUGAUGGGGUUAGCGGUAACGCGAAGCUCUUGAUCGAAGCCCCGGUAAACGGCGGCCGUAACUAUAACGGUCCUAAGGUAGCGAAAUUCCUUGUCGGGUAAGUUCCGACCUGCACGAAUGGCGUAAUGAUGGCCAGGCUGUCUCCACCCGAGACUCAGUGAAAUUGAACUCGCUGUGAAGAUGCAGUGUACCCGCGGCAAGACGGAAAGACCCCGUGAACCUUUACUAUAGCUUGACACUGAACAUUGAGCCUUGAUGUGUAGGAUAGGUGGGAGGCUUUGAAGUGUGGACGCCAGUCUGCAUGGAGCCGACCUUGAAAUACCACCCUUUAAUGUUUGAUGUUCUAACGUUGGCCCCUAAUCGGGGUUGCGGACAGUGUCUGGUGGGUAGUUUGACUGGGGCGGUCUCCUCCUAAAGAGUAACGGAGGAGCACGAAGGUUGGCUAAUCCUGGUCGGACAUCAGGAGGUUAGUGCAAUGGCAUAAGCCAGCUUGACUGCGAGCGUGACGGCGCGAGCAGGUGCGAAAGCAGGUCAUAGUGAUCCGGUGGUUCUGAAUGGAAGGGCCAUCGCUCAACGGAUAAAAGGUACUCCGGGGAUAACAGGCUGAUACCGCCCAAGAGUUCAUAUCGACGGCGGUGUUUGGCACCUCGAUGUCGGCUCAUCACAUCCUGGGGCUGAAGUAGGUCCCAAGGGUAUGGCUGUUCGCCAUUUAAAGUGGUACGCGAGCUGGGUUUAGAACGUCGUGAGACAGUUCGGUCCCUAUCUGCCGUGGGCGCUGGAGAACUGAGGGGGGCUGCUCCUAGUACGAGAGGACCGGAGUGGACGCAUCACUGGUGUUCGGGUUGUCAUGCCAAUGGCACUGCCCGGUAGCUAAAUGCGGAAGAGAUAAGUGCUGAAAGCAUCUAAGCACGAAACUUGCCCCGAGAUGAGUUCUCCCUGACUCCCUGAGAGUCCUGAAGGAACGUUGAAGACGACGACGUUGAUAGGCCGGGUGUGUAAGCGCAGCGAUGCGUUGAGCUAACCGGUACUAAUGAACCGUGAGGCUUAACCUU